Molecule: ribosomal RNA, 633 nt
Filed under: uncultured bacterium
Lineage: Bacteria
Description: bacterial SSU rRNA
Rfam family: Bacterial small subunit ribosomal RNA (bases 1-542)
Source: RNAcentral
CCUACGGGAGGCAGCAGUGGGGAAUUUUGGGCAAUGGGCGCAAGCCUGAUCCAGCAAUGCCGCGUGCAGGAUGAAGGCCUUCGGGUUGUAAACUGCUUUUGUACGGAGCGAAACGGUCUGCUUUAAUACAGUAGGCUAAUGACGGUACCGUAAGAAUAAGCACCGGCUAACUACGUGCCAGCAGCCGCGGUAAUACGUAGGGUGCGAGCGUUAAUCGGAAUUACUGGGCGUAAAGCGUGCGCAGGCGGUUAUAUAAGACAGAUGUGAAAUCCCCGGGCUCAACCUGGGACCUGCAUUUGUGACUGUAUAGCUAGAGUACGGUAGAGGGGGAUGGAAUUCCGCGUGUAGCAGUGAAAUGCGUAGAUAUGCGGAGGAACACCGAUGACGAAGGCAAUCCCCUGGACCUGUACUGACGCUCAUGCACGAAAGCGUGGGGAGCAAACAGGAUUAGAUACCCUGGUAGUCCACGCCCUAAACGAUGUCAACUGGUUGUUGGGUCUUCACUGACUCAGUAACGAAGCUAACGCGUGAAGUUGACCGCCGNGGGAGGUACGGCCGCGAGGUUAGUAAACGUUAAAGGUAAGUUAGUACGGCGUGAGACGUAGACCGACGGACGACGACGAGGGGAGGAGG